UACGUAGGGGGCAAGCGUUGUCCGGCUUUAUUGGGCGUAAAGAGCUCGUAGGCGGUUUGGUAAGUCGGAUGUGAAAUUUCCAGGCUCAACCUGGAGGGGUCAUUCGAUACUGCCAUGACUAGAGUUCGGUAGGGGAGUGUGGAAUUCCUGGUGGAGCGGUGAAAUGCGCAGAGAUCAGGAGGAACACCCGUAGCGAAGGCGGCACUCUGGGCCGAUACUGACGCUGAGGAGCGAAAGCGUGGGGAGCGAACAGG
Molecule: ribosomal RNA, 254 nt
Filed under: uncultured bacterium
Lineage: Bacteria
Description: partial 16S ribosomal RNA
Rfam family: Bacterial small subunit ribosomal RNA
Source: RNAcentral